This 569-nucleotide ribosomal RNA is filed under the name uncultured bacterium. RNAcentral describes it as "partial 16S ribosomal RNA". It matches the Rfam family "Bacterial small subunit ribosomal RNA", at positions 355 to 1375 of the family's 1533-position model. The record is from RNAcentral.
UGGGGAAUAUUGCACAAUGGGCGAAAGCCUGAUGCAGCGACGCCGCGUGAGGGAUGACGGCCUUCGGGCUGUAAACCUCUUUCAGCAGGGAAGAAGCGAAAGUGACGGUACCUGCAGAAGAAGCGCCGGCUAACUACGUGCCAGCAGCCGCGGUAAUACGUAGGGCGCAAGCGUUGUCCGGAAUUAUUGGGCGUAAAGAGCUCGUAGGCGGUUAGUCGCGUCUGCUGUGAAAACUCGAGGCUCAACCUCGGGCUUGCAGUGGGUACGGGCUGACUAGAGUGCGGUAGGGGUGACUGGAAUUCCUGGUGUAGCGGUGGAAUGCGCAGAUAUCAGGAGGAACACCGAUGGCGAAGGCAGGUCACUGGGCCGCAACUGACGCUGAGGAGCGAAAGCAUGGGGAGCGAACAGGAUUAGAUAGCCCUGGUAGUCCAUGCCGUAAACGUUGGGCACUAGGUGUGGGUCCAUUCCACGGAUUCCGUGCCGCAGCAAAGCGCAUUAAGUGCCCCGCCUGGGGAGUACGGCCGCAAGGCUAAAACUCAAAGGAAUUGACGGGGUCAUAGCUGUUUCCU